CUACGGGGCGCUCCAGUGAGGAAUAUUGCACAAUGGGGGAAACCCUGAUGCAGCAACGCCGCGUGGAGGAUGACGCAUUUCGGUGUGUAAACUCCUUUUAUCAGAGAAGAAAAUGACGGUAUCUGAUGAAUAAGCUCCGGCUAACUCCGUGCCAGCAGCCGCGGUAAUACGGAGGGAGCAAGCGUUAUUCGGAAUCACUGGGCGUAAAGGACGCGUAGGCGGGUUAUUAAGUCAGGUGUGAAAUCCAAUGGCUCAACCAUUGAACUGCACUUGAAACUGGUAACCUAGAGUAUGGAAGGGGCAGAUGGAAUUAGUGGUGUAGGGGUAAAAUCCGUAGAUAUCACUAGGAAUACCGAAAGCGAAGGCGAUCUGCUGGGACAUUACUGACGCUGAGGCGUGAAAGCGUGGGGAGCAAACAGGAUUAGAUACCCUCGUAGUC
RNAcentral lists this ribosomal RNA (439 nucleotides) under uncultured bacterium. Its description in RNAcentral is "partial 16S ribosomal RNA". It matches the Rfam family "Bacterial small subunit ribosomal RNA", at positions 339 to 795 of the family's 1533-position model. The record is from RNAcentral.